This is a non-coding RNA of Octopus bimaculoides (California two-spot octopus), 83 nucleotides long. NCBI's taxonomy places the organism in Eukaryota, Metazoa, Mollusca, Cephalopoda, Octopoda, Octopodidae. The record is from Rfam.
GUGUGGCCAUGAUGGAAAUGUCAUGAUCUGUCAAUCCACUGAUUUUAUCAAGUUUGAUGAGAAUUUAUUUUGACGCUGAGCAC